This 427-nucleotide ribosomal RNA is filed under the name uncultured Gammaproteobacteria bacterium. Its description in RNAcentral is "bacterial SSU rRNA". It matches the Rfam family "Bacterial small subunit ribosomal RNA", at positions 355 to 774 of the family's 1533-position model. The record is from RNAcentral. Lineage: Bacteria; Pseudomonadati; Pseudomonadota; Gammaproteobacteria.
UGGGGAAUAUUGGACAAUGAGCGAAAGCUUGAUCCAGCAAUACCGCGUGUGUGAAGAAGGCCUGCGGGUUGUAAAGCACUUUCAGUGGGGAAGAAAAGCUUAAGGUUAAUAGCCUUGAGUCUUGACGUUACCCACAGAAGAAGCACCGGCUAACUCCGUGCCAGCAGCCGCGGUAAUACGGAGGGUGCAAGCGUUAAUCGGAAUUACUGGGCGUAAAGCGCGCGUAGGCGGUUUAGUCAGUCAGAUGUGAAAGCCCCGGGCUUAACCUGGGAACUGCAUUUGAUACUGCUGAACUAGAGUAUGGUAGAGGGAAGUGGAAUUCCGGGUGUAGCGGUGAAAUGCGUAGAUAUCCGGAGGAACACCAGUGGCGAAGGCGACUUCCUGGACCAAUACUGACGCUGAGGUGCGAAAGCGUGGGUAGCAAACA